CGACGAUGCAAGAGACCGUUCUAUCUGUUCUUGCCUUCUUCGAAUUCUCUGGCUCAACGGCCAGAUCAGUUUGGCUGAAUUGAUAGUACCCUUGAAGGUGUCCAAGGUGACUGUGGUUAAGAAUACGGUGGUAAGUUGGUGUCAUGGUGGGGAAUGCAGCUGCUGCGGCAAAUGGUCGUACAUCUGCUGAGACACAACGAGAACUGCACCUAAAGCUAGUUUAUUGCCAGAGACCUUUUGCAGGACGGGAUGAAACGGCGAAGCGCAGCGAGAAAAAAUGUUAUUCCAUGAAUAUCCUAAGACUGCACUCAACAUUGCAGUGCAGUGCGUCGAUGCGCUUUAAAAGAUGCGCUGUGUCAGUCACAUCUUCUUUACAUGGUUCGCGAUUAAACAUGAAGAAAGGAACGAAGAAGCAGAAAGCAAAUUUCUAUUUCAGCUUUGUAUUUAACUAUCCACGCGAAUCGGUAGAAACCUAAUGAGUUUCCAUGACACCAUAGACAGCCGUUAGUUUCUCCAUAAUUUGCAGAGCGCCGAAUCACGAAAGUUAACUAGAAUUAACAGGCGAUGAAUAGGUUGAAUCGAUUGGAUUCCAAUGAGAUUGCAACAGUGCAUUUACUCAUUUAUUAUUAGUUGAUCAGUCAUCGGUCGUUACUCGUGUAUCCAUUAAUUGCGUAAUGGCCCACUCCCUUGAUUGUCAAAUUAAUACCGUACCGAGUUGGAAUGUUUCAUUGAUGAACAGAUUCAUGAGUUACGAGAUAUUAUUCAGUUAGACAUUACAAUUACACUAAGUAGUUUCCCAUUUCGCAGUACACCUGCCAUUUACAAGAGUAGCAGCGUGCUAAAAUUCUCUAGGGCAAAGGGCCACAGCUAAACAAUACAGUAAGACCCCAGUUAACGCAGAAGAAACGUUUUUAGUAUUUACAGUGCUAAACGAAAGGGCAUCAAAAUAGAUACACGUGGUAAGCGGCGAAUUCGUUGAAUCGAGGAAUUAGUAUUUUACCGAACAUUUGCAAGUACGGCUAUGACAAAACAGCGUAGAACGAGGUAGUAUUAACCAGAGUCCUUAGUGUAUUAGGAAAUUUACAGUUACGGGUCAGCCUUACGAAUUUAAGAUACCUGGAAUGUUGAGUGCGUCUACAUAAUGGGUACUUGGGUAAACUGGCCGUUGAUAUGGUCAAGGCCCUUUCUUUUAAAGUAUCUGAAAACCUGAAACGAACUGCACCAUCGUGCUUGCUCUAGAGCUCAGUAUUUUUAAUUAGUUAAGUAUACGAAAGCGUGUUAUUAAAUAUUACCUCAUGAUGUAAAAAUACAAACACUCCUCAUUCAAAAGCGGCUACAGCCAUUGCAUUCUAUUUGUCAAGUUUCACGAGAACAUAGAGUGCCAAACCCUGUAGCAUCUAUCACUCAGCGACCAUUCUUUUAUUACUUCUAUAUUGUAGAAUUGACAUAAAUGAAAACCCUAUUACUACCAUAUAACAUUCGUAAUUGUAUUAUAUUGAUACAAUAAAUCUUAUCAAUUACUCCCACA
Molecule: long non-coding RNA, 1528 nt
Organism: Cephus cinctus (wheat stem sawfly)
Lineage: Eukaryota; Metazoa; Arthropoda; Insecta; Hymenoptera; Cephidae
Exons: 2
Source: RefSeq, a predicted model, not a curated record